CAGGAAGCUAACUUCAUGCUUUCUCUCAUCUUUGUGUCUAACACCUUCACAAUACAGCACAUUGGGCUCUUUCAGUGGAAAAUAAAAAUCACUGUGCGAGAGGGGCUGAUUGCUGAUGAUUGAAGCUUAUCGAAAUAAAACCAGAACACAUGCAUGUUCUUAUUCAGAGAAGCACAUGAAGCAUUUCACUGCAGAAAUUAUUGACAGUCUUCUCUGUGCACAUCACCAUCCAUUAACUGGGGUUCUGGGAUAUACAGCAGCUCAACAUACAGGUUAAUACUUGGUAAAUUACAUCCUUUCCAAAAAGCAAGUCAUGCCAGACUGCACAGAGAAAAGGAAAGACACCAUGAAGAGAGGUCAGUAGUGGACGGCUCAUAGCCCUGAAAGUCCCAGUUCAAGCUUCCACAAUCAUCCUACACAAGAGCACUGCUUCUCACAGGACUGCCUCAGCCUGGCAGGAUUCAGUCUCCUGCUCUGAGGGAAAAACAGGAAGUCAAGGAUCAAGACCGAGUGCUCAACUGAGAUCAGAAAGGAGGACACACAGUGACUUGGCCAAAUCACUGGAGAUUCACACAGCAGAGCUCAGACGAGUGCUAUCAGCACAGCUGAGGAAGACAACAGUUAGGGGAAUCAGUGAAGUGAGCUCCCAGCUACCGCCUCGAGAGGCUGCUAUUGACAAUCUCCUGUCUGGCCAAACAACUUCCUUUCUACAACUUUGCCUGGGCGAAUGGCAGUAGGAAAACACCACCAACAAAUUGGAAAUUGCCACAUCAUUCACAUCGGUUUUCCUCUACUGAAUCCAAUCCCUGCUUUCAAGAAGAAAGAAGUGGUAGUACAAUACAAUCUCAGCAUUCUGUAAUCUGGCUUGAAUGUGACUGUGCAAGGAUCCUGAAAGAGAAACAUUGGUUGUGUUUUUAUUCCUUGGGUAUAAGAAUCCUGAAAGAGAAAGGCAUCUGAACCUUGGAGGCAUGGGGUUCAUCUCAUCCUCAUCCAGCCUGUGAUGAUGGAGCUGUUUUCACCAGAAACGUGAGGAGACUCAUACCACUUGAGAACUAUUUGUUGGAGUGCCAGAUUAUUUAAGGGCCUUUGCAUGUUUCAAGUCCUCUUCUUAAAGUAAGAAUACUCUCCACAUUUAUAACAGCAACAAAAACACCAAUGUCAGCACAAAAUGCAAAAACGGAGGCACUUCUAUGUCAUAAUGAUACAUCAGAGUUCUGCUCAACUCUUUUUUAGAAAAAGAAGCUCAGACUUACACACAUCCACUUUCUUAAAUAAAUAAUUGUUCAAUGAAAGUUACCCUGGGAGGAUUGCUGUCUCCAGCUCCCAAGCACUGCUCAUCUGCUGACGGGGGGUACUCUGUGACUGUUACAGAAAUUGCUCUUAAAUGCAUAAAACACAGAAGAGAAUUUUUGGAAAAUCCCUUAUUAUUCAUUAAAGCAUUUUAGGGCCUCAUUAAUCCAGAUGGGUUAAUCGGUUGUUGAUUUGCCAGGUUGUUAAGCAUCCAUUGUCAGAUGCUGAUGGGGUGUGAGAAAAUAUAAUUCCGAUCUACCAAAGAGUCACCUGAAUGAGGCUAGCACUUCAUCAGGGAAGGCUGUAUCUUCCUCAGGGAAGGCUGUGUCUUCAUCAGGGAAGGCUGUAUCUUCCUCAGAGAAGGCUGUAGCUUCCUCAGAGAAGGGUGUAUCUUUACCAGGGAAGGCUAUGUCUUCAUCAGGGAAGGCUGUAUCUUCCUCAGAGAAGGCUGUAUCUUCACCAGGGAAGGCUGUAUCUUCAUUACGGAAGGCAGUAUCUUCUGGGGAUAAAUUAAGCUGGGCAUCCAGCUUCUUCUUUAAUUUCCAAAACUUCUCUGUAUCACAAAACAUUCCUCAUUCUUUGGGUGUUUUUUUUUUGUUUUUUUGUUUUUUUUUUUUUUGCCUACCUAAGGUCUGAAAUGAUGUCAGAAGCCAUUUUCAAAAGCUAGUUCGUAACAGGUCAACAGGUCAGUCGCACAUAUGCACUUAGGCACAGAAGCCCAACAUUUAAAGAUGUUUGUGUGUACGUGUCUGUAUACGUGUAUACACAUCUGUGUAUAUGUUUGUGUCUACACAUGUAUACACGUCUAGGCGUAUAUGUUUGUGUCUACACGUCUGUGUAUAUGUUUGUGUCUACAUGUGUCUAUGUGUUUGUCUAUAUGUCCAUAUGCGUAUAUUUGUGUGUGUCUGCGUGUGUGUGCAUGAGUUUGGCUUUGACUUUGUUUCAAAGUUCUUAGCUAGAGCCUGUCCACAUCUUCAGCCCUUCAGACACAAAUGGUAUUCAGGUUAUCAAGGGGAUUCUUUAGCCAGGGCUUAAAAACUCAACUUUCUUUCUUUCCAAACCUUGACUGACUGAGAGUCACAUAACAGCAGUGAGCACAGUGAGAAAAGUCCCUGGAUUAGAAGUUGGAAAAUAUGAUUCAGGGUCCUGGUUCUGUUUUAAGAGAGGAAGUGACCAUCAUUAG
RNAcentral lists this long non-coding RNA (2473 nucleotides) under Homo sapiens (human). Its description in RNAcentral is "HSALNT0224017". The record is from RNAcentral. Lineage: Eukaryota; Metazoa; Chordata; Mammalia; Primates; Hominidae.